This 614-nucleotide ribosomal RNA is filed under the name Rhodotorula mucilaginosa. RNAcentral describes it as "eukaryotic LSU rRNA". It matches the Rfam family "Eukaryotic large subunit ribosomal RNA", at positions 38 to 667 of the family's 3401-position model. The record is from RNAcentral. Lineage: Eukaryota; Fungi; Basidiomycota; Microbotryomycetes; Sporidiobolales; Sporidiobolaceae.
GCAUAUCAAUAAGCGGAGGAAAAGAAACUAACAAGGAUUCCCCUAGUAGCGGCGAGCGAAGCGGGAAGAGCUCAAAUUUAUAAUCUGGCACCUUCGGUGUCCGAGUUGUAAUCUCUAGAAAUGUUUUCCGCGUUGGACCGCACACAAGUCUGUUGGAAUACAGCGGCAUAGUGGUGAGACCCCCGUAUAUGGUGCGGACGCCCAGCGCUUUGUGAUACAUUUUCGAAGAGUCGAGUUGUUUGGGAAAUGCAGCUCAAAUUGGGUGGUAAAUUCCAUCUAAAGCUAAAUAUUGGCGAGAGACCGAUAGCGAACAAGUACCGUGAGGGAAAGAUGAAAAGCACUUUGGAAAGAGAGUUAACAGUACGUGAAAUUGUUGGAAGGGAAACGCUUGAAGUCAGACUUGCUUGCCGAGCAAUCGGUUUGCAGGCCAGCAUCAGUUUUCCGGGAUGGAUAAUGGUAGAGAGAAGGUAGCAGUUUCGGCUGUGUUAUAGCUCUCUGCUGGAUACAUCUUGGGGGACUGAGGAACGCAGUGUGCCUUUGGCGGGGGUUUCGACCUCUUCACACUUAGGAUGCUGGUGGAAUGGCUUUAAACGACCCGUCUUGAAACACGGACC